RNAcentral lists this microRNA precursor (86 nucleotides) under Marmota monax (woodchuck). The record is from RNAcentral. Lineage: Eukaryota; Metazoa; Chordata; Mammalia; Rodentia; Sciuridae.
CUCUGAUUAAAUACAAAAUAAACUGUGGUCUUUCUCCCCCUAGAGCUAAGCACAAAGACCACAGUUUAUUUUGUAUUUAAUCAGAG